RNAcentral lists this ribosomal RNA (566 nucleotides) under uncultured bacterium. RNAcentral's name for it is "partial 16S ribosomal RNA". It matches the Rfam family "Bacterial small subunit ribosomal RNA", at positions 355 to 911 of the family's 1533-position model. The record is from RNAcentral.
UGGGGAAUAUUGCACAAUGGGCGCAAGCCUGAUGCAGCCAUGCCGCGUGUGUGAAGAAGGCCUUCGGGUUGUAAAGCACUUUCAGCGAGGAGGAAGGUGGUGAGCUUAAUACGCUCAUCAAUUGACGUUACUCGCAGAAGAAGCACCGGCUAACUCCGUGCCAGCAGCCGCGGUAAUACGGAGGGUGCAAGCGUUAAUCGGAAUUACUGGGCGUAAAGCGCACGCAGGCGGUUUGUUAAGUCAGAUGUGAAAUCCCCGGGCUCAACCUGGGAACUGCAUUUGAAACUGGCAAGCUAGAGUCUCGUAGAGGGGGGUAGAAUUCCAGGUGUAGCGGUGAAAUGCGUAGAGAUCUGGAGGAAUACCGGUGGCGAAGGCGGCCCCCUGGACGAAGACUGACGCUCAGGUGCGAAAGCGUGGGGCAGCAAACAGGAUUAGAUACCCUGGUAGUCCACGCUGUAAACGAUGUCGAUUUUGGAGGUUGUGCCCUUGAGGCGUGGCUUCCGGAGCUAACGCGUUAAAUCGACCGCCUGGGGAGUACGGCCGCAAGGUUAAAACUCAAAUGAAUU